Pangasianodon gigas (Mekong giant catfish) is the source of this 72-nucleotide non-coding RNA. The record is from the annotation of a GenBank genome assembly. Lineage: Eukaryota; Metazoa; Chordata; Actinopteri; Siluriformes; Pangasiidae.
UGAAACACACACACUGGAAUAUAAUGAUGUUAAACUGCAGCUCUGGGUGAAAAUUCACUACAAUAAUCACAC